This 403-nucleotide ribosomal RNA is filed under the name uncultured bacterium. Its description in RNAcentral is "partial 16S ribosomal RNA". It matches the Rfam family "Bacterial small subunit ribosomal RNA", at positions 28 to 526 of the family's 1533-position model. The record is from RNAcentral.
GACGAACGCUGGCGGCGUGCCUAAUACAUGCAAGUCGAACGCAGUGGGGACGGGUGCGGAACACGUGGGUAACCUCCCAUCAGAGGGGGGAAAACGUGGAAACAGGUGCUAAACCCAUACGGAUGGAGGGACCCGAUGUGCAUUAGGUAGUUGGUGAGGUAACGGCUCACCAAGGCCACGAUGCCUAGCCGGCCUGAGAGGGUGAUCGGCCACACUGGGACUGAGACACGGCCCAGACUCCUACGGGAGGCAGCAGUGGGGAAUAUUGGGCAAUGGGCGAAAGCCUGACCGAGCAACGCCGCGUGAGUGAAGAAGGUUUUCGGAUCGUAAAGCUCUUUUGUUAGAGAAGCGGUAUCUAACCAGAAAGCCACGGCUAACUACGUGCCAGCAGCCGCGGUAAUAC